GUGGGACAGGGGAGAAAGCAUUUCUCAGGUUUGCCAUUUAUCUUCCUUUUGGAGAUGUGAGAGAGUACUGGAAGAGGAAAGGGAACAGCAGAAAGAGCCUGUCUGAGAAUGAAGUCAAAGCAAAAAGCUGCCAAAAAGUGGAGGAAAAAUGAUAGAGCUCAGAAAAACCCAGGGAAGGACUUGGAUUUAGCUGUGGCCAUUCCUUAAACAUCUCAGAACUUUCAGUAAUGAGAUCUGAAGUGGCAAUCGCUGAGAUCACAGAAAUUUAAAAUAUCAGAGGAUUAAAGAAAAAAGGAACAGGAAAAAAGCCAGAUGUCAAAGCAUAAUCAUUUUGUAGAAAUGGGAUCUAGCUGGGAUGUUCUCCAAGGAAAGGACAACACCUCCCUGGGAACAAGCAAAUUAAGAGUAAGAUGUUUGAAGAAAAAAAAAAAAAAAAGAAGUAAGACAUUUGCAAGGAAUCAUGGGCUUAGAGCAUAGAAAUCAAAUUGUCUAAAAGGAGAUUUCAUCCACCAAAGGACCAUUUCAUGUUGAUAAUAAUAGAAUGCCUAAGGGAACAUGAAAUUAAAGGAUUCAUGAGAAACAACAUAACAUCAGAUGCUGCUCUAGAUACUGGGGCUACAGAAGUGAACAAGAAGCCUGCCAUCAAGAAGUUCACAUAAUCUAGCAGGGGGACAAGACAUACACUCGCAAUUCACUGUGGGAAGUGCUCUGACAGAGGUGGCAACCAGAGCAAACUCCCUUAAGGCAAGAAGAGCGAGUGGUCAAGCUCAGGCAGCAGACUGCAUCUCCUCUGCUUCCUGUUACUUCCUUCGUGGUAGGGGUAUGAUGCUCAGCACUUGUCGACUACAGUAGAUUCGUCCACAUAGUUUUCCAGCUUGUCAUCCAUGAGGCUGACUGGGUAUGUUUCACAGCUCACAAUUACAGAUUUAAGGAGACUGGGCUGGGAAGACCCACCAGGAAGGCUGUCAGGCCUUGGUCCCAGGGACCAGCACCACCUACCAGAAAAAUCUUGCAUUUGCGGGUGCGGGGCACUUAGCCAGCGAUUAUACAGCUGGUACUUCGUCUCCUCAUUCUAUUCCUGUCCAUGUGUCUACACCUUUCUUAGAAGGGAACACCAGAAAAUAAAGGGCAAGUGGAAGGAUCGGGGUACCAAAACCCCACCAUAAAUUCUGACUGGGUUUCACUGUAUUUCUGUUUUAAGUCAUCUCUCAGAGCUGAAACUUCAUGCCUCUCAAAAUCAUCU
Long non-coding RNA from Panthera uncia (snow leopard), 1243 nucleotides. RefSeq lists it as uncharacterized. NCBI's taxonomy places the organism in Eukaryota, Metazoa, Chordata, Mammalia, Carnivora, Felidae. The record is from RefSeq and is a predicted model, not a curated record. The transcript has 6 exons.